This 493-nucleotide ribosomal RNA is filed under the name Staphylococcus hominis. RNAcentral's name for it is "partial 23S ribosomal RNA". It matches the Rfam family "Bacterial large subunit ribosomal RNA", at positions 2433 to 2925 of the family's 2925-position model. The record is from RNAcentral. Lineage: Bacteria; Bacillati; Bacillota; Bacilli; Caryophanales; Staphylococcaceae.
AUGGAAGGGCCAUCGCUCAACGGAUAAAAGCUACCCCGGGGAUAACAGGCUUAUCUCCCCCAAGAGUUCACAUCGACGGGGAGGUUUGGCACCUCGAUGUCGGCUCAUCGCAUCCUGGGGCUGUAGUCGGUCCCAAGGGUUGGGCUGUUCGCCCAUUAAAGCGGUACGCGAGCUGGGUUCAGAACGUCGUGAGACAGUUCGGUCCCUAUCCGUCGUGGGCGUAGGAAAUUUGAGAGGAGCUGUCCUUAGUACGAGAGGACCGGGAUGGACAUACCUCUGGUGUACCAGUUGUCGUGCCAACGGCAUAGCUGGGUAGCUAUGUAUGGACGGGAUAAGUGCUGAAAGCAUCUAAGCAUGAAGCCCCCCUCAAGAUGAGAUUUCCCAACUUCGGUUAUAAGAUCCCUCAGAGAUGAUGAGGUUAAUAGGUUCGAGGUGGAAGCGUGGUGACACGUGGAGCUGACGAAUACUAAUCGAUCGAAGACUUAAUCAAUUU